Molecule: ribosomal RNA, 440 nt
Filed under: uncultured bacterium
Lineage: Bacteria
Description: partial 16S ribosomal RNA
Rfam family: Bacterial small subunit ribosomal RNA
Source: RNAcentral
CCUACGGGCGGCAGCAGUGGGGAAUAUUGCACAAUGGGGGAAACCCUGAUGCAGCGACGCCGCGUGAGCGAUGAAGUAUUUCGGUAUGUAAAGCUCUAUCAGCAGGGAAGAAAAUGACGGUACCUGACUAAGAAGCCCCGGCUAACUACGUGCCACCAGCCGCGGUAAUACGGAGGGGGCAAGCGUUAUCCGGAGUUACUGGGUGUAAAGGGAGCGUAGACGGCGGUGCAAGCCAGAUGUGAAAGCCCGGGGCUCAACCCCGGGACUGCAUUUGGAACUGUGCUGCUAGAGUGUGGGAGAGGCAGGCGGAAUGCGUGGUGUAGCGGUGAAAUGCGUAGAUAUUAGGAGGAACACCAGUGGCGAAGGCAGCCUACUGGACGAUGACUGACGUUGAGGCACGAAAGCGUGGGGAGCGAACAGGAUUAGAUACCCGGGUAGUC